GACGGAGGAUGCAAGCGUUAUCCGGAAUGAUUGGGCGUAAAGCGUCCGCAGGUGGCAGUUCAAGUCUGCUGUCAAAGACCGGGGCUUAACUUCGGAAAGGCAGUGGAAACUGAACAGCUAGAGUAUGGUAGGGGCAGAGGGAAUUCCUGGUGUAGCGGUGAAAUGCGCAGAUAUCGGGAGGAACACCUAUGGCGAAGGCAGCUUGCUGGGACGGCACUGACGCUGAGACGCGAAAGCGUGGGGAGCAAACAGG
RNAcentral lists this ribosomal RNA (253 nucleotides) under uncultured bacterium. RNAcentral's name for it is "partial 16S ribosomal RNA". It matches the Rfam family "Bacterial small subunit ribosomal RNA", at positions 524 to 776 of the family's 1533-position model. The record is from RNAcentral.